CUGACACAGGGAGGUAGUGACAAUAAAUAACUAGACCGGGCUUUUAUAGUCUAGUCAUAGGAAUGAGAGUAAUUUAAAUCCCUUAUCGAGGAUCAAUUGGAGGGCAAGUCUGGUGCCAGCAGCCGCGGUAAUUCCAGCUCCAAUAGCGUAUACUAAAGUUGUUGCAGUUAAAAAGCUCGUAGUUGGAUUUCUGGUCGAGGCAGCCGGUCGGCAUCAAGUAUGUUUGUACAUGGCGCUUCGUCCAUUUUUGUAGAAGCUGCGUCUGUCAUUCACUUGUCGGGCGUAGGGUCUGCAUCAUUUACUGUGAGCAAAAUAGAGUGUUCAAAGCAGGCUUAGGCCAUGAAUACAUUAGCAUGGAAUAAUAAGAUAAGACCUUGGUCUAUUUUGUUGGUUAGCAUUCCGGGGUAAUGAUUAAUAGGGAUAGUUGGGGGUAUUCGUAUUCAAAUGUCAGAGGUGAAAUUCUUGGAUUUUUUGAAGACGAACUACUGCGAAAGCA
This 496-nucleotide ribosomal RNA is filed under the name uncultured Chrysophyceae. RNAcentral describes it as "SSU rRNA". It matches the Rfam family "Eukaryotic small subunit ribosomal RNA", at positions 451 to 953 of the family's 1831-position model. Lineage: Eukaryota; Chrysophyceae. The record is from RNAcentral.